Non-coding RNA from Podarcis lilfordi (Lilford's wall lizard), 72 nucleotides. The record is from the annotation of a GenBank genome assembly. Lineage: Eukaryota; Metazoa; Chordata; Lepidosauria; Squamata; Lacertidae.
UGGAUGGCUCAGUUGGUUAGAGCGUGGUGCUGAUAACGCUAAAGUUGCAGGUUCAGUCCCCGAAUGGGACAG